Molecule: ribosomal RNA, 657 nt
Filed under: Microbacterium sp. T31902BO1
Lineage: Bacteria; Bacillati; Actinomycetota; Actinomycetes; Micrococcales; Microbacteriaceae
Description: SSU rRNA
Rfam family: Bacterial small subunit ribosomal RNA
Source: RNAcentral
AAACGUUGGAACUAGUUGUGGGUCCAUUCCACGGAUUCCGUGACGCAGCUAACGCAUUAAGUUCCCCGCCUGGGGAGUACGGCCGCAAGGUAAAACUCAAAGGAAUUGACGGGGACCCGCACAAGCGGCGGAGCAUGCGGAUUAAUUCGAUGCAACGCGAAGAACCUUACCAAGGCUUGACAUAUACGAGAACGGGCCAGAAAUGUCAACUCUUUGGACACUCGUAAACAGGUGGUGCAUGGUUGUCGUCAGCUCGUGUCGUGAGAUGUUGGGUUAAGUCCCGCAACGAGCGCAACCCUCGUUCUAUGUUGCCAGCACGUAAUGGUGGGAACUCAUGGGAUACUGCCGGGGUCAACUCGGAGGAAGGUGGGGAUGACGUCAAAUCAUCAUGCCCCUUAUGUCUUGGGCUUCACGCAUGCUACAAUGGCCGGUACAAUGGGCAGCGAUACCGUGAGGUGGAGCGAAUCCCAAAAAGCCGGUCCCAGUUCGGAUUGAGGUCUGCAACUCGACCUCAUGAAGUCGGAGUCGCUAGUAAUCGCAGAUCAGCAACGCUGCGGUGAAUACGUUCCCGGGUCUUGUACACACCGCCCGUCAAGUCAUGAAAGUCGGUAACACCUGAAGCCGGUGGCCUAACCCCUUGUGGGAGGGAGCUGUCGA